This 911-nucleotide long non-coding RNA is filed under the name Lupinus angustifolius (narrow-leaved blue lupine). Its description in RNAcentral is "long non-coding RNA (LANG_LNC000593)". Lineage: Eukaryota; Viridiplantae; Streptophyta; Magnoliopsida; Fabales; Fabaceae. The record is from RNAcentral.
UGAAAUGUGAGCAUUGAUAUUCAAACGUUGAUUGAAUAUCCACAUUUUUAACAUUAAUACAGACAUCUAAAAAUCACUUUUCCAACUUGCAGUGAAAACAAAAUAGCUUCUGAUUUUUUUCCAGUCGUGAAUAAUCAGUGUCAGGUUACCCUUUCAUUUUUGGAUUUCUCUUUCCCAUCCUCAAAUCGAGUUGCAGAUAUCGAAGACUUGCAGGCGUUGUUUCAAAGCCAGUAAGCUCAUAACUUCUUCCAUAUCAUCAAUCAUUUUACAAUGUUAGCACACCAUCCACAAUUGAUUUAUAUUACUUUUGUUUGAAACAUAAAAAACACUUAUACGUUAGUGUAUACAUUUUAAAUCUUAAAUCAUUACUAGUGAUGGGCACCUAGGCUGCUUUCCUGCUUUAGUAAUUAGCAGUUUGAGCUAUGGGUUUGCCCAACAUGUUUUCAAUUUUUCCAUUUUUUAUGGAAAUAACCAAUGGUUAUAAUGAUUCUUUUUCCCACUCUGUCAAGGGUUUUGAAUUUCAGUUCAUAGUUUCAAUUACUGCUACUAUUUCUCUAAUUUUGGUAGUCUCUACAAUAAUAGUAGGAUGCAAUUUUGCUGUAUUUUCCCACAUGGUAAAUGCUAUGUAACUGCAAUCUCAAACACAAUUCGAAAUCACGAUGCUGUCUGUGCAGGAAAAUUCAUUGAGUUCUUAUCCUGGUGGUGAUAUUGAUGUUAGAUCCUAAGUUUUCUUUGACAUUCUAAGUGGAAAGAUGAAAGCAGGGCGAACUGGAUAGAAGUGUUAAAUGGAUGUCACUGUGAGAAAUGUUAAAGAUGCUAAGACAUCUGCACUGAGAGAAAGAGGGAAUGCAUAUCUGGGAAAUCUUGUUUUACUAGUUAAUGGUGAAUUGUUGUUUGGAUGUUGUUGAGGG